AGAGUUUGAUCCUGGCUCAGGACGAACGCUGGCGGCGUGCUUAACACAUGCAAGUCGAACGAGAAAGUGUUCUUCGGAACAUAAGUAAAGUGGCGAACGGGUGAGUAACACGUAGGGAAUCUGCCUCUAGAUCUGGGAUAACAGCGGGAAACUGCUGCUAAUACCGGAUAUGAUUUUAUGAAGCAUUUCAAAAGAUGGAAAGGAAGCCUCUGCUUGCAAGCUCUGUCUAGAGAUGACCCUGCGGACCAUUAGCUAGUAAGUAAGGUAAAGGCUUACCUAGGCAAUGAUGGUUAGCCGGCCUGAGAGGGCGAUUGGCCACAUUGGGACUGAGACACGGCCCAAACUCCUACGGGAGGCUGCAGUGGGAAUAUUGCGCAAUGGGCGAAAGCCUGACGCAGCGACGCCGCGUGAACGAUGAAGGUCGUAAGAUUGUAAAGUUCUGUCAAGAGGGAAGAAAGUAUGUCAAGUUAAUAGCUAGAUGUAUAUGACGGUACCUCUGGAGGAAGCUCCGGCUAAUUACGUGCCAGCAGCCGCGGUAAUACGUAAGGAGCGAGCGUUGUCCGGAAUCACUGGGCGUAAAGGGCACGUAGGCGGUCUAUUAAGUCAAUGGUGAAAUCAUCGGGCUCAACUCGAUGGCUGCCUUUGAAACUGAUAGACUAGAGGUCGGGAGAGGAAAGCGGAAUUCCUGGUGUAGUGGUGAAAUGCGUAGAUAUCAGGAAGAACACCGAUGGCGAAGGCAGCUUUCUGGACCGACACUGACGCUAAGGUGCGAAAGCGUGGGGAGCAAACAGGAUUAGAUACCCUGGUAGUCCACGCCUUAAACGUUGGGUAUUAGGUGUAGGAGGUAUCGACCCCUUCUGUGACGAAGUUAACGCAUUAAAUACCUCGCCUGGGGACUACGGCCGCAAGGCUAAAACUCAAAGGAAUUGACGGGGGCCCGCACAAGCGGUGGAGCAUGUGGUUUAAUUCGAUUCAACGCGAAAAACCUUACCUAGGUUUGACAUCUCCGGACAACCUGUGAAAGCAGGCUUCCCUUCGGGGCCGGAUGACAGGUGCUGCAUGGCUGUCGUCAGCUCGUGUCGUGAGAUGUUGGGUUAAGUCCCGCAACGAGCGCAACCCUUGUCGUUAGUUACCAGCACCUAAUGGUGGGCACUCUAACGAAACUGCCGGUGAUAAACCGGAGGAAGGUAGGGAUGACGUCAAGUCCUCAUGGCCUUUAUACCUAGGGCUACACACGUGCUACAAUGGAGAGUACAGAGGGCAGCGAACUCGCGAGAGUAAGCGAAUCCCAAAAAACUCUUCUCAGUUCGGAUUGUGGGCUGAAAUUCGCCCGCAUGAAGUUGGAAUCGCUAGUAAUCGCGAAUCAGAAUGUCGCGGUGAAUACGUUCUCGGGCCUUGUACACACCGCCCGUCACACCAUGGAAGUCUGUCAUGCCCGAAGUCGGUGACCUAACCAUGCAAAUGGAGGGAGCUGCCGAAGGCGGGGCCGAUGACUGGGGUGAAGUCGUAACAAGGUAGCCGUAUCGGAAGGUACGGCU
RNAcentral lists this ribosomal RNA (1538 nucleotides) under metagenome. Its description in RNAcentral is "bacterial SSU rRNA". It matches the Rfam family "Bacterial small subunit ribosomal RNA". The record is from RNAcentral.